RNAcentral lists this long non-coding RNA (925 nucleotides) under Physcomitrium patens. RNAcentral describes it as "long non-coding RNA (PPAT_LNC001565)". The record is from RNAcentral. Lineage: Eukaryota; Viridiplantae; Streptophyta; Bryopsida; Funariales; Funariaceae.
UAAUAAGGUUUCUAUGGGCAUUAAUUUUGUAUGAUUUGGAUUUGUAAUGACUUUGUAAGAGCUUUACAAAGUCAAGAUUGUUUUAGAUGACUUAGAUGUUUGUAAAAUAAAAUAGGGUUGACAUUUUGGAUAAUUUCAAGAGUUUUAUAAUUGAUCUAUAGCUGAAAUUUUGUAUAUCAAUGGUUAUAGUUGUGCUUAAUAUUUGUUGAGAAUUUUAGAUUGAUCUAAUAGGUGAAUUGAGGGUUAUUGAGGUUUAAGUAGGUUAGGAUCUCAAAAAGUAGAAUUUAAGAUUUAGUGAGGAUUUCUAAGAUUUCUUAUAAUCUAUCAAUUGGAUUAGAAAGAAAGUUAUGUGUGUAGGUAGUAGACUUAUUUUCUUAUACAUGUGAAAAUUUUGAGAUCAAUUAAAAGUUGUAAAAGAGAGAAGUCAGUAUUAGAAGAUUAGUAUAUAAGUUGAAGAAGGAGGCUGGCCAACAUCUGAGCAAAUUUUAGGAUUUUUCUUCUAUUUGAUGAGUGCAAUUGUCUUAAAAUUUAUUAUACUUAUUUUUAACUAAGAGAUUAAGAGGUAUGUAAAAUUUUAAAUAAAAUAAAUAGUUUAAUCAAAAGAUAUUGAGGUUCUAAACUACCUUAGGAUUUGGUUUAGGAUUUAGAAUUGAUUAGGGUUUGAUUUAGGGUUUAAGAUUUGGUUAGGAUUUAGUUUAGGAUUUAAGAUUUUAUUAGGAUUUGAUUUAAAAUUUAGAAUUUAAUUAUGAUAUAAUUUAAGAUUUAGGAUUUGAUUAGAGUUUGAUUUAAAAUUUAAGAUUUGUCUAAGAUUUGAUUGAAGUCUAUUAGGAUUUCAACUAGGAUUAAAUUAGAAUUUAAUUGAGAUUUAUUUAAGAUAUAUUUUAAUUAUUUUAAUAUUUUUUUAGGACUUCUUAAGGUUUCUUUU